This 252-nucleotide ribosomal RNA is filed under the name uncultured bacterium. RNAcentral's name for it is "partial 16S ribosomal RNA". It matches the Rfam family "Bacterial small subunit ribosomal RNA", at positions 524 to 776 of the family's 1533-position model. The record is from RNAcentral.
UACGGAGGAUGCGAGCGUUAUCCGGAUUUAUUGGGUUUAAAGGGUGCGUAGGCGGACUGUCAAGUCAGCGGUAAAAUACGGGGGCUCAACCUCCGCCCGCCGUCGAAACUGACGGUCUUGAGUGGGCGAGAAGUAUGCGGAAUGCGUGGUGUAGCGGUGAAAUGCAUAGAUAUCACGCAGAACUCCGAUUGCGAAGGCAGCAUACCGGCGCCCAACUGACGCUGAAGCACGAAAGCGUGGGUAUCGAACAGG